RNAcentral lists this antisense RNA (89 nucleotides) under Escherichia coli. RNAcentral describes it as "ArsR-gov region gene B". It matches the Rfam family "ArsR-gov region gene B". Rfam says of the family: arsR-gov region gene B is transcribed opposite of dinQ (translates into a toxic single transmembrane peptide) with 30 complimentary nucleotides. AgrB appears to repress accumulation of dinQ by RNA interference and counteracts its toxicity. Lineage: Bacteria; Pseudomonadati; Pseudomonadota; Gammaproteobacteria; Enterobacterales; Enterobacteriaceae. The record is from RNAcentral. RNAcentral also lists the same sequence under 2 other names.
CUAGAUGAGGACUGUUUCAUUUCUGCCCGGAACCACCAAGUCUUGGGCGGAAAAAAUAAAAAAACCGACUGUCAUGUCGGUUUUUUUAU